UGGGGGAAUUUUGGUCAAUGGACGAAAGUCUGAACCAGCGACGCCGCGUGGGUGAUGAAGGCCUUCGGGUUGUAAAGCCCUGUCGGAGGGGACGGAAGUCCCGGUGUAACGAACCGGGUUGACGGUACUCUCAAAGGAAGCACCGGCUAACUCUGUGCCAGCAGCCGCGGUAAUACAGAGGGUGCUAGCGUUGUUCGGAAUUACUGGGCGUAAAGCGCGUGUAGGCGGUACGUUAAGUUCCGUGUGAAAGCCCUGGGCUCAACCCAGGAAGUGCGCGGAAUACUGGCGGACUGGAGUGUCGGAGAGGAUGGCGGAAUUCCCGGUGUAGAGGUGAAAUUCGUAGAUAUCGGGAGGAACACCUGUGGCGAAGGCGGCCAUCUGGACGAUAACUGACGCUGAGACGCGAAAGCGUGGGUAGCAAACAGGAUUAGAUACCCUGGUAGUCCACGCUGUAAACGAUGGGAUGCUAGAUGUUGCGGGUAUUGACCCCCGCAGUGUCGACGCUAACGCAUUAAGCAUCCCCG
RNAcentral lists this ribosomal RNA (524 nucleotides) under uncultured Pseudomonadota bacterium. RNAcentral describes it as "bacterial SSU rRNA". It matches the Rfam family "Bacterial small subunit ribosomal RNA", at positions 354 to 871 of the family's 1533-position model. The record is from RNAcentral. Lineage: Bacteria; Pseudomonadati; Pseudomonadota.